AGCGAACGCUGGCGGCAGGCUUAACACAUGCAAGUCGAACGGGCUUCUUCGGACGUCAGUGGCAGACGGGUGAGUAACACGUGGGAACGUGCCCUUCGGUUCGGAAUAUCUCAGGGAAACUUGAGCUAAUACCGGAUACGCCCUUAUGGGGAAAGGUUUACUGCCGAAGGAUCGGCCCGCGUCUGAUUAGCUUGUUGGUGGGGUAACGGCCUACCAAGGCGACGAUCAGUAGCUGGUCUGAGAGGAUGAUCAGCCACACUGGGACUGAGACACGGCCCAGACUCCUACGGGAGGCAGCAGUGGGGAAUAUUGGACAAUGGGCGCAAGCCUGAUCCAGCCAUGCCGCGUGAGUGAUGAAGGCCUUAGGGUUGUAAAGCUCUUUUGUCCGGGACGAUAAUGACGGUACCGGAAGAAUAAGCCCCGGCUAACUUCGUG
This 435-nucleotide ribosomal RNA is filed under the name uncultured bacterium. RNAcentral's name for it is "partial 16S ribosomal RNA". It matches the Rfam family "Bacterial small subunit ribosomal RNA", at positions 29 to 507 of the family's 1533-position model. The record is from RNAcentral.